Molecule: ribosomal RNA, 1328 nt
Filed under: Triticum aestivum (bread wheat)
Lineage: Eukaryota; Viridiplantae; Streptophyta; Magnoliopsida; Poales; Poaceae
Description: partial small subunit ribosomal RNA
Source: RNAcentral
UACCACUCUAAAUCCCCCACCGCACUCGUCCAAGAGGAAGCAUAAAGGGGUGCAGAAGAGGGAAACAAAUGAGAAGGGGAAGGUGGGGACCGCCUAGGGCGGCACGGCAUGGAAUCGCAGCGGCGGCGGCGGCGGGGAGUUAGAGGAGGGUGGGUGGUUGAGACCCCUGCGCGCAGCCGCGGCGGCGGCGGUAGCGGCAAGGGGAAGAAGCAGCUGAGGGUCUUGUAGCGCGGUCCCGACAGGACGAUGGCAGAGGGAGGAAAGCUCCUACGAUAUUGGCUAUAUCGUAAACCUCUUCCCGGUGUGAUAAAAAAUGUAACUAGAGCCGUGGCUGGCUGCUGCGUGUCCUUCCGUCGUCCACCUAGUUGGCUGAGGUGGUACCCCCCGACCAAGAGAAAGGGCCCAUUGCUGCCCGCACGUUAGGGUUCUCUCACCCGUCAACGUCGACCUAACCUACGGUGAGGGAAGUUGUACGCAGCUGACUUCUUGCACCCAGCGGGGCCGGGCGCGUGUGGUCUUCUUAAGCUGCGGAUGGUGUAAGCGUUAGAGCGCGCGACCCGGGAGGCUGUAAUGUUGAGGUCGGUGGGCCCACGACUCAAGGCCACGGGACUAGUCGGGUGGUGGCUCCGCUUCCGUCGGACACAACCGAAGUCCCUUCUAGAGACCAUGGUGGAGUUGAAGAACCGGACGGAUUUCCUACUGCCGCUGCUCGUCUCGAAGAAGCGGCUCGAUGCGAUACAGGCCACAAGGUCGUGUUAUUAGUAGCUUUGUACGUGGUAGAAUCUUUUUGGCAAAACGGGGAAAUCUUCGUCAACGUGUAACACAGGUCUACUUAGGUUCUAAAACGUAGGUUCGCUACACCUCGAACCCACACCCUUCCUCCCGGUGGUUCUCCUUAAGAAGGCGCUCUCCACACCUACCUUGCCUGUACAUUUCCUUAAAAAGUCAGGUUCCCUCUACGAUCGCUAUGGGAAGUUCAAUCCUCCUGGUCACGGAGCUAUAUCUGACCUCAUUGGUACUAAAUGAGGAUGAAAGUCAAGUCAACAUUACAAUAUGAUGAAAAUCGGAACAUUUAAAUAAUAAAGGAUAGCAGUUACGUAACCCCCAUGUUCGAAACACAAAAGAGAUCUUCUUUACCUGGAGGUGCUCACUUAGACACUCUUUAAUUUAAACACCGUCAAAACCGUGUUUCUUCAUUCGGAAAGCAAAGUGGAGAUCCAACAAGUUACAUUUGUUACGUAAGGCAUUUUAAUAACUGAUAUGUUCGAAACGCGUGCAUCUUGAAAGAAAAGAAACAAUAAUGACUCUGACAAACUCACAAACGCAAC